RNAcentral lists this ribosomal RNA (481 nucleotides) under uncultured bacterium. RNAcentral describes it as "bacterial SSU rRNA". It matches the Rfam family "Bacterial small subunit ribosomal RNA", at positions 501 to 981 of the family's 1533-position model. The record is from RNAcentral.
CUACGUGCCAGCAGCCGCGGUAAUACGUAGGUGGCAAGCGUUGUCCGGAAUUAUUGGGCGUAAAGGGCGCGCAGGCGGCUUCUUAAGUCUGUCUUAAAAGUGCGGGGCUUAACCCCGUGAUGGGAUGGAAACUGGGAAGCUCAGAGUAUCGGAGAGGAAAGCGGAAUUCCUAGUGUAGCGGUGAAAUGCGUAGAUAUUAGGAGGAACACCAGUGGCGAAAGCGGCUUUCUGGACGAAAACUGACGCUGAGGCGCGAAAGCCAGGGGAGCGAACGGGAUUAGAUACCCUGGUAGUCCACACCGUAAACGAUGGAUACUAGGUGUUGGCAAUGAAUAAUUGUCGGUGCCGGCGCUAACGCAAUAAGUAUCCCACCUGGGGAGUACGACCGCAAGGUUGAAACUCAAAGGAAUUGACGGGGGCCCGCACAAGCAGUGGAGUAUGUGGUUUAAUUCGAUGCUACGCGAAGAACCUUACCAAGGCU